RNAcentral lists this transfer RNA (85 nucleotides) under Sutterellaceae bacterium. RNAcentral's name for it is "tRNA-Leu". It matches the Rfam family "tRNA". From Rfam's summary of the family: Transfer RNA (tRNA) molecules are approximately 80 nucleotides in length. Their secondary structure includes four short double-helical elements and three loops (D, anti-codon, and T loops). Lineage: Bacteria; Pseudomonadati; Pseudomonadota; Betaproteobacteria; Burkholderiales; Sutterellaceae. The record is from RNAcentral.
GCCCGGGUGGCGGAAUGGUAGACGCAGUGGAUUCAAAAUCCACCGCCUAAUAAGCGUGAGAGUUCGAGUCUCUCCCCGGGCACCA